RNAcentral lists this long non-coding RNA (707 nucleotides) under Setaria viridis. RNAcentral describes it as "long non-coding RNA (SVIR_LNC010905)". Lineage: Eukaryota; Viridiplantae; Streptophyta; Magnoliopsida; Poales; Poaceae. The record is from RNAcentral.
UGUAGGAGACCCGUAUGUGGGUGUUGGCGACCCAUAUGUUGGCGUUGGGGGAUGGUACUCUGGCUGAGGCUUGGGCUCUGGUUUGGGCUGCGGCUUAGGUUCCGGCUUCGGCUUUGGCGGUAUGGGCUUCUUGUGGAAGUGGUCGAAGAAGUGGUGGUGGUCAUGGUCCUUGUGGAAGUGACCAAGCAACUUGGCAAACAAGUGCCUAGCUGGAGGGUGGUAGAUCGGUGUCGGAGACCCGUAUGUUGGUGUUGGGGGAUGGUACUCUGGCUGAGGCUUAGGCUCUGGCUUCGGCUGCGGCUUAGGUUCCGGCUUCGGCUUCGGCGGCAUGGGCUUCUUGUGGAAAUGGUCAAAGAAGUGGUGGUGGUCGUGGUUCUUAUGGAAGUGAUCAAACAAGUGCUUCUUGUCGAACAACUGCCUUGCUGGAGGAUGGUAGAUCGGAGUUGGGGAUCCAUAUGUGGGCAUUGGUGAUCCAUACGUCGGUGUUGGGGGGUGGUACUCUGGCUGCGGCUUGGGUUCAGGUUUCGGUUGCGGCUUAGGUUCGGGCUUCGGCUUCGGCGGUAUGGGCUUCUUCUUGUGGAAGUGGUCGAGGAAGUGCUUCUUGAUAGGGCCGCAGAUGGUGACCGACGCGCAUUCUGCCGAUGGGUUGUUUGUCUUGCCAGGGACCACGACGAAGUCGCUCUCGGACUGCGGAACAAUCAUGGAAG